Molecule: ribosomal RNA, 1367 nt
Filed under: Lactiplantibacillus plantarum
Lineage: Bacteria; Bacillati; Bacillota; Bacilli; Lactobacillales; Lactobacillaceae
Description: bacterial SSU rRNA
Rfam family: Bacterial small subunit ribosomal RNA
Source: RNAcentral
UUGAUUGGUGCUUGCAUCAUGAUUUACAUUUGAGUGAGUGGCGAACUGGUGAGUAACACGUGGGAAACCUGCCCAGAAGCGGGGGAUAACACCUGGAAACAGAUGCUAAUACCGCAUAACAACUUGGACCGCAUGGUCCGAGUUUGAAAGAUGGCUUCGGCUAUCACUUUUGGAUGGUCCCGCGGCGUAUUAGCUAGAUGGUGAGGUAACGGCUCACCAUGGCAAUGAUACGUAGCCGACCUGAGAGGGUAAUCGGCCACAUUGGGACUGAGACACGGCCCAAACUCCUACGGGAGGCAGCAGUAGGGAAUCUUCCACAAUGGACGAAAGUCUGAUGGAGCAACGCCGCGUGAGUGAAGAAGGGUUUCGGCUCGUAAAACUCUGUUGUUAAAGAAGAACAUAUCUGAGAGUAACUGUUCAGGUAUUGACGGUAUUUAACCAGAAAGCCACGGCUAACUACGUGCCAGCAGCCGCGGUAAUACGUAGGUGGCAAGCGUUGUCCGGAUUUAUUGGGCGUAAAGCGAGCGCAGGCGGUUUUUUAAGUCUGAUGUGAAAGCCUUCGGCUCAACCGAAGAAGUGCAUCGGAAACUGGGAAACUUGAGUGCAGAAGAGGACAGUGGAACUCCAUGUGUAGCGGUGAAAUGCGUAGAUAUAUGGAAGAACACCAGUGGCGAAGGCGGCUGUCUGGUCUGUAACUGACGCUGAGGCUCGAAAGUAUGGGUAGCAAACAGGAUUAGAUACCCUGGUAGUCCAUACCGUAAACGAUGAAUGCUAAGUGUUGGAGGGUUUCCGCCCUUCAGUGCUGCAGCUAACGCAUUAAGCAUUCCGCCUGGGGAGUACGGCCGCAAGGCUGAAACUCAAAGGAAUUGACGGGGGCCCGCACAAGCGGUGGAGCAUGUGGUUUAAUUCGAAGCUACGCGAAGAACCUUACCAGGUCUUGACAUACUAUGCAAAUCUAAGAGAUUAGACGUUCCCUUAGGGGACAUGGAUACAGGUGGUGCAUGGUUGUCGUCAGCUCGUGUCGUGAGAUGUUGGGUUAAGUCCCGCAACGAGCGCAACCCUUAUUAUCAGUUGCCAGCAUUAAGUUGGGCACUCUGGUGAGACUGCCGGUGACAAACCGGAGGAAGGUGGGGAUGACGUCAAAUCAUCAUGCCCCUUAUGACCUGGGCUACACACGUGCUACAAUGGAUGGUACAACGAGUUGCGAACUCGCGAGAGUAAGCUAAUCUCUUAAAGCCAUUCUCAGUUCGGAUUGUAGGCUGCAACUCGCCUACAUGAAGUCGGAAUCGCUAGUAAUCGCGGAUCAGCAUGCCGCGGUGAAUACGUUCCCGGGCCUUGUACACACCGCCCGUCACACCAUGAGAGUU